RNAcentral lists this long non-coding RNA (589 nucleotides) under Parus major (Great Tit). Its description in RNAcentral is "lncRNA (ENSPMJG00000009897.1)". The record is from RNAcentral. Lineage: Eukaryota; Metazoa; Chordata; Aves; Passeriformes; Paridae.
UUGAAGAGAAACAUUACCAAAUAUGUCUUUUCUCCUGCCCAUAUCUUCUGUUUCCACAGGAAAAGGACGCAGGCACAGGCAGCCCAAUGGAAACACAGGAACAUCCACCGUCACUGGGGGAGGAAGGCAAGUCCUGCCUGCAGCCCUGCUCAGAGAGGAAGCAGCUGAAAGUCAACGUCUUAAACAUCAGUAAAGGGGAUGCUGACAACUUGACUUUUCUGCCAGAUUCUGCAGCUCUCUGCUUCCUGAAAAACAAUAAAGACUUGGAUUACUCAACAGGAAACCGUAUUUUUUUCAGAAGAAUUUAUUAUUUCAACCAUUCUCUUACACUUAUUCUUCUGGAAAACUCAACAGAGGAGCAGUUUUCUCCCAAGAAGGCUGCAAGAGUUCGUUCAUCUGUUCCUGAUGAAGAAUCUGUUCCUGAUGAAGAGAUUCUCUUCUGCAGUUCCACAGCACUUAUUUUUGUGUUCAGACUGAGCUUCCUCAAGAUGAGAACAAAUAAAUAGGAACAGUGAUCUCUAUUGAGGGAUCAGGAAAAGUAACAGCACAGCACUUUGAGCCUGCUCACGCCCAUUCACCACAGGAACAG